UCGUCCCACUCGUGAUCGUCUUCUCAACCUUCACGUGCGGGCGGAAUGAGGAAGAACCCCCGCGAUGACGUGAAUCGCGGGGGUUCUUC
RNAcentral lists this non-coding RNA (89 nucleotides) under Streptomyces sp. WAC04657. Its description in RNAcentral is "sodF sRNA". It matches the Rfam family "sodF sRNA". From Rfam's summary of the family: Identified in Streptomyces coelicolor. It is produced from sodF mRNA by cleavage of about 90 nucleotides from its 3'UTR. However, it does not affect the function of sodF mRNA, but acts on another mRNA called sodN. s-SodF RNA has a sequence complimentary to sodN mRNA from the 5'-end up to the ribosome binding site. The record is from Rfam by way of RNAcentral. RNAcentral also lists the same sequence under 1 other name. Lineage: Bacteria; Bacillati; Actinomycetota; Actinomycetes; Kitasatosporales; Streptomycetaceae.